GCCCAGGAAAAGUGUGUCGAGCUUAAUGGAGAUCGUACGCAAAAUUAUUUGACGAUCUCGAUGAGUGUCAAGAUGCUCGAGGGAAUUUUCAGAAAUUUUCAUAAAGUGAAAUCCUCAAUCUAGGAGUUGGAUAAUAAAGUACAUGACCCGACGAGUUCGUGGAAAUUUUUGGGGAAUUUUUCGGAUACCCGACCUAUUUGUUAUGAUUUUCCGAAGUUUUGAGGUUUUGGAAAUUAAUUAAGGAAAUAGAAAAUGGGUAGAGCGAUCCUAGCCAUCCAUAAACCCACCGACUGAUCACAGCCGUCGAAAUUAAGUUAGAGCAGCCUAUAAAGAGGCCUUGUCUCGGUUGGACGACCAGAAGGAUCUAGAGAGAAGCUCGAAGCUUCUGACCCGAAACGGAGUCGCCGACCCGAGAAUGAAACCCGACCAAAGUGGUGUCGUCCGGCCACCGAUCGACGACUGACGACCACCAUCUUCUUCGUCUCGCCGUCGCCAACAGCCUCCUAUCCUUGGAUCGUCCAUGCAACGAUCGUGAACGGAGAGUCGAAGGCGAGAAGCAGCGUCUGCUCCACCGGUUCUGUGGUGGUUUCCGGCCACCGUCUGGGCCGCCUUCAAAAUCAAGAGGCUUGCUGGGUUAUUGGCGUCAAAAUCCUCAACUCAUCAACAUUCCAGUUCUAGCAAGGGGUUCUGUAAACCCGAGCUUGAUCAACGUAGACUUUCGAAGGUAAAAUUCCAAACCUUGAAUUCAAAGGUUGCUCUUGUGAUGAAUUCGAAAAUUGUGGACUGAAGAGCUCUUGAAUUAUUUCUGUCCUGGAGAUUUGGUUGAAUCAUGGUGUUAUGCAUAGUUUGAUCGAGUUGUGUAGUUUGGUGAUUUGAGGAUUUCUUUGCAGAUUGUAGUACCGGAGGUAAUAUCGAGAAUUUGAUGGAAAUGUUUCUGUUUGUUGGCUGGAGAAUCGAUUGAGUUAUGGAUUGAGAAAUUGGUUGUAUUGUUGAUCGGAGAUUGUGAGUAUGUGUGUGAGGUUUCUGUGAAAUUGAUUACUGGUUGUGAAUGAAUAAAUGGUAUUGUGUUGUUAUGUU
This is a long non-coding RNA of Rosa rugosa (rugosa rose), 1077 nucleotides long. RefSeq lists it as uncharacterized. The record is from RefSeq and is a predicted model, not a curated record. The transcript has 2 exons. NCBI's taxonomy places the organism in Eukaryota, Viridiplantae, Streptophyta, Magnoliopsida, Rosales, Rosaceae.